This 888-nucleotide long non-coding RNA is filed under the name Ananas comosus (pineapple). RNAcentral's name for it is "long non-coding RNA (ACOM_LNC011177)". Lineage: Eukaryota; Viridiplantae; Streptophyta; Magnoliopsida; Poales; Bromeliaceae. The record is from RNAcentral.
UUGAAUUUAAAGUAAUUGAUGGAUUUGGAAUACAAAAAUAUGAUUAAAUUUAUGAAUAAUACAAUACCGUUUGGCAAGGGGAUAGGGAUAGGGAUAACCCCUAUCUCCCUUUAUACCCAAACGCUAAUUUUUUAUUCGAGAAUAGUAAUUCUCGGUUAUCUAUAAUAAUCGGGUAUAACUAUUCCCACCAACACCUUCAUUUUCUAUACAAAAUUAUCUAUUAUUUUUCUUAUUCCAUAUUAUCUAUCCAAACGCUAUUUUCUUAUUCCCGAAAGCAAUCUAAUUUUCAUCCAAAUAUUAUUUUUCUUAUCCCCAUACUUAUACAUAUCCCUGUAAUAGCUAGUUCUUACUUAUACCCGAACCAAACGCUACCGAAACCUCGCUCUAGUUCAAUAUUACAUCAUUUUGUACAGUUAUGUGCGUAGAAUUUUUAUUCAUAUAAAAUAUUAAUAGUAAAAUGCAUUCAGACUGUCCAUAUUGAAUUGCCGAUGAUGAGCAAUGAGUUUGUCCUUGUAAGGCUACUGUGAAAUAAUCGUUGUACUCUAAAAGCUUAAGCUGUUAAAGAACGGUAUUUAAAUAUUUUUAUAUUUAACACUCCCCCUCAUGUCUGGACUUAAGACUUUUUAGCCGGUCCAUGACGUGAGCUUGAAUUAAAUUUAAAUGGAAGAAUUAAUAUGCUAGGAGCCUGACGUGACUCGAACUCAGGAUCUCCUGUUCUGAUACUAUGUGAAAUCAACCGUUGUACUCUAAAAAUUUAAGUUGUUAAAGAAUAGUGUUUAAACAUUUUUAUAUUUAACAGCUACAAAAGAUUACAGCACAAUUUAAAAUAGAAGUGCUUAUAUCUAACUAAUGUAAUAUAUCAUUCCAAUUUCGUUCCAUUAAAAUUUU